CCUACGGGGGCAGCAGUGGGGAAUAUUGCACAAUGGGGGAAACCCUGAUGCAGCGACGCCGCGUGAGUGAAGAAGUAUUUCGGUAUGUAAAGCUCUAUCAGCAGGGAAGAAAAUGACGGUACCUGAGUAAGAAGCCCCGGCUAACUACGUGCCAGCAGCCGCGGUAAUACGUAGGGGGCAAGCGUUAUCCGGGUUUACUGGGUGUAAAGGGAGCGUAGACGGCAGCACAAGUGUGGAGUGAAAUGCCGGGGCUUAACCCCGGAACUGCUUUGGAAACUGUGCAGCUAGAGUGCAGGAGAGGUAAGUGGAAUUCCUAGUGUAGCGGUGAAAUGCGUAGAUAUUAGGAGGAACACCAGUGGCGAAGGCGGCUUACUGGACUGUAACUGACGUUGAGGCUCGAAAGCGUGGGGAGCAAACAGGAUUAGAUACCCUAGUAGUC
Molecule: ribosomal RNA, 439 nt
Filed under: uncultured bacterium
Lineage: Bacteria
Description: partial 16S ribosomal RNA
Rfam family: Bacterial small subunit ribosomal RNA
Source: RNAcentral